GACGAACGCUGGCGGCGUGGAUUAGGCAUGCAAGUCGAACGGUAGGAUACCUUCGGGUAUCUGAGAGUGGCGAACGGGUGAGUAACACGUAGGUGAUCUACCCUCAAGAUUGGGACAACCCAGGGAAACUUGGGCUAAUACCGGAUGAAAGCAGCAGUGAUGUUGUUUGAAAGGUGGCGUAAGCUGCCGUUUGGGGAUGAGCCUGCGCUCUAUUAGUUAGUUGGCGGGGUAAAGGCCCACCAAGGCGAUGAUAGAUAGGCGGCCUUAACGGGUGGUCGCCCACACUGGGAUUGAGAUACGGCCCAGACUCCUACGGGAGGCAGCAGUCGAGAAUAGUCUACAAUGGCCGAAAGGCUGAUAGUGCGACGCCGCGUGAACGAAGAAGCCCUUCGGGGGUAAAGUUCUUUUAUAUGUGAGCAGUGCUUUCUAUGUGAACAGCAUGGGGAGAGAGGAUAUUAGCAUAUGAAUAAGCAACGGCUAACUCCGUGCCAGCA
This 494-nucleotide ribosomal RNA is filed under the name uncultured bacterium. Its description in RNAcentral is "bacterial SSU rRNA". It matches the Rfam family "Bacterial small subunit ribosomal RNA", at positions 28 to 513 of the family's 1533-position model. The record is from RNAcentral.